AAAGAAACCAACAGGGAUUGCCUCAGUAACGGCGAGUGAAGCGGCAAAAGCUCAUAUUUAUCAUUAAAUCAGUUAUCGUUUAUUUGAUAGUAACUUGCUACUUGGCAUACGCCUGGCAAUUCUAGAGCUAAUACAUGCGCACAGGCCCAACGCAAGGCGGGCCGUAUUUAUUAGAUAAAAAAUCAACAAUACAGAUGAUUCAUAAUAACUUGUCGAAUCGCAUGGCCCCGAGCCGGCGAUGGUUCAUUCAAAUUUCUGCCCUAUCAACUUUCGAUGGUAGGAUAGAGGCCUACCAUGGUUUCAACGGGUAACGGGGAAUAAGGGUUCGGUUCCGGAGAGGGAGCCUGAGAAACGGCUACCACAUCCAAGGAAGGCAGCAGGCGCGCAAAUUACCCAAUCCCGACACGGGGAGGUAGUGACAAUAAAUAACGAUACAGGGGCCCUUUGGGUCUUGUAAUUGGAAUGAGUACAAUGUAAAUACCUUAACGAGGAACAAUUGGAGGGCAAGUCUGGUGCCAGCAGCCGCGGUAAUUCCAGCUCCAAGAGCGUAUAUUAAAGUUGUUGCAGUUAAAAAGCUCGUAGUUGAACUUCCCCCGGCGCGGGCCCCUGUUUUUCGGGGGACUUGGGCCGGGGUCCUUCGGGAAAUUACUUUGAGUAAACGAGAGUGUUCAAAGCAGGCGCGCAGCCUGAAUCUUCAAGCAUGGAAUAAUAAAACAGGACAAUGGUUCUAUCUUGUUGGUUAUAAGCCAUCGUAAUGAUUAAUAGGGACGGUCGGGGGCAUCAGUAUUCAGUAGUCAGAGGUGAAAUUCUUAGAUUUACUGAAGACUAACUACUGCGAAAGCAUUUGCCAAGGACGUUUUCAUUAAUCAAGAACGAAAGUUAGGGGAUCGAAGAUGAUCAGAUACCGUCGUAGUCUUAACCAUAAACUAUGCCGACUAGGAUCGGGCGCGCUCACAACAGACGCGCUCGGCACCUUACGAGAAAUCAAAGUUUUUGGGUUCUGGGGGGAGUGUGGUCGCAAGGCUGAACACUUACACGGAAUUGACGGAAGGGCACCACCAGGAGUGGAGCCUGCGGCUUAAUUUGACUCAACACGGGGAAAACUCACCAGGUCCAGACACAAUAAGGAUUGACAGAUUGAGAGCUCUUUCUUGAUUUUGUGGGUGGUGGUGCAUGGCCGUUCUUAGUUGGUGGAGUGAUUUGUCUGCUUAAUUGCGAUAACGAACGAGACCUUGGCCUCUAACUAGGGUGCGCAGCGGUAGCUACGCGACCUUCUUAGGGGGACUAUUGAUGUAAGUCGAUGGAAGUUCGAGGCAAUAACAGGUCUGUGAUGCCCUUAGACGUUCUGGGCCGCACGCGCGCUACACUGACGGAGGCAGCGAGUUGACCUUUGCCGAGAGGCAUGGGAAAUCUUGAAACUCCGUCGUGCUGGGGAUAGAGCAUUGCAAUUUUUGCUCUUCAACGAGGAAUUCCUAGUAAGCGCAAGUCAUCAGCUUGCGUUGAUUACGUCCCUGCCCUUUGUACACACCGCCCGUCGCUACUACCGAUUGAAUGGCUUAGUGAGGUUUUUGGACUGGGGCGACCCGGGAAAACUAUCAAACUUGGUCAUUUAGCAGGAAGUAAAAGUCGUAACAAGGUUUCCGUAUGUGAACCUGCGGAAGGAUCAUUAUUGAAAUAUUAAACACUGAUUUGGCGUUGUGCAGCUAACAAGACAUUUUUGUCAAGCAAUAUAAAAAAAUAACUUCCAACAACGGAUCUCUUGGCUCUCGUACCGAUGAAGAACGCAGCAAAUUGCGAUACGUAUCAUGAUCUGCAAACGUGAAUCAUUAAUCUUUGAACGCACAUGGCGCGCCUUGGCGCAUGCGGGGUGGAGCAUACAUUUUCUCCUCAGGGCCUUAGAAUCAACAGUCAGAAAACAAGUUCUCGACUUUUUUGUUUCUCCCCCCCGUAAGACUACCCGCUGAACUUAAGCAUAUCAAUAAGCGGAGGAAAAGCUUCGGCAUUGUAACGGUGGCGGAAGUGGGCAUUCAAAAGUCCAUUGGAACAUGGCGCCAUUGAGGGUGACAGCCCCGUAAGAUAGGCCCCAACCCUCCACAAAUGAGUCGAGUUGUUUGGGAAUGCAUCUAAGAGGUGGUAAACUCCACUCUAAGGGCUAAAUAUCGACGAGAGACCGAUAGCGAACAAGUACAGGUGAUUGGAACAGAU
Molecule: ribosomal RNA, 2205 nt
Filed under: uncultured fungus
Lineage: Eukaryota; Fungi
Description: eukaryotic LSU rRNA
Rfam family: Eukaryotic small subunit ribosomal RNA (bases 1-1669)
Source: RNAcentral